This 330-nucleotide ribosomal RNA is filed under the name Triticum aestivum (bread wheat). RNAcentral describes it as "partial small subunit ribosomal RNA". Lineage: Eukaryota; Viridiplantae; Streptophyta; Magnoliopsida; Poales; Poaceae. The record is from RNAcentral.
AUGUUGCAAUCAUUGUGCCCGAAGAAAGACAUGUGUUUGCUGCUCCAGGAAGGCAAAGCUUUGGCGACUCCCCAGCUCGGCUUAAACUGUAGAACGGCGUCCUUGAUGGCCCCGGGGACACAAGAAAUUAGAGAGCCGCGACCGUUGCUGCAGUUUCUAUCCUGGUGUGUUUUCAGUUUUGCUGAUGUGCUGCUGGCUGUAAGAAUAAUAAUUCAUGACUUUGAGAUUUUGAGAAGUGACCUAUUUAAAAGGUAUGCAAUGGUCUUGACUGAUGUGCCACUGUUUUCAUUUCGUUUGAAAUGGAACAGGGCGAAGAGCCUUUUGAUCUAA